This 68-nucleotide transfer RNA is filed under the name Troglocarcinus corallicola. RNAcentral describes it as "tRNA-Ala". Lineage: Eukaryota; Metazoa; Arthropoda; Malacostraca; Decapoda; Cryptochiridae. The record is from RNAcentral.
UAAGACUAUAAUUUAUAAUUAAAAUAUAUGAGUUGCAUUCAUAAAAAGUUUCUAAAAACUAGUUUUAU